Molecule: long non-coding RNA, 201 nt
Filed under: Phaseolus vulgaris (common bean)
Lineage: Eukaryota; Viridiplantae; Streptophyta; Magnoliopsida; Fabales; Fabaceae
Description: long non-coding RNA (PVUL_LNC002364)
Source: RNAcentral
AAAAUCCACGAGAUUGUUACCCUUAUAUUAGUAAGGUGAUGUAAUAUGGAGCCGUUAAAAUUUCCGAAAAUGUGUAUGGGUUCUAAUACUUUAUUAUUAAUCUAUUUCAUACAUGUCCAUAUGCAUUAGUUUUCAAAUAAUAAUAACAAUAAUAUCACACUUCUUGUUUAGGGCAUAAUACGCUUUGAUAGAAACAAAUAU